This 777-nucleotide ribosomal RNA is filed under the name uncultured Neocallimastigales. RNAcentral describes it as "partial large subunit ribosomal RNA". It matches the Rfam family "Eukaryotic large subunit ribosomal RNA", at positions 24 to 618 of the family's 3401-position model. The record is from RNAcentral. Lineage: Eukaryota; Fungi; Neocallimastigomycota; Neocallimastigomycetes; Neocallimastigales.
UAUGUGAUCGUCUCUCGCAUAUCAAUAAGCGGAGGAAAAGAAACUAACAAGGAUUUCCCCUAGUAACGGCGAGUGAAGCGGGAAGAGCUCAAAUUUGAAAUCUUAAAGGGUUUCCCUUUACGAAUUGUAGUUUAAAGAAGUGUUUUCUGUUGAGGUUUUGGUAAAAGUUCUUUGGAAUAGGACAUCAUAGAGGGUGAGAAUCCCGUAUUUGACCUUUACUUUCAACUUUGUGAUACACUUUCAAAGAGUCGGAUUGUUUGGGAAUGCAGUCCAAAAUGGGUGGUAAAUUUCAUCUAAAGCUAAAUAUUGGCGAGAGACCGAUAGCGAACAAGUACCGUGAGGGAAAGAUGAAAAGAACUUUGAAAAGAGAGUUAAACAGUACGUGAAAUUGUCAAAAGGGAAGCGUUUGACACCAGUGUUGUUUUUCUGAAAAUCAAAUUAAAGAACUGUUUAUGCUAAGCUGUUUAGACUUUAUCAGCUAUCUGUUUAGUUUUGAGCUUUUCUUUAAUGCACUUUUCAGUUAACAAGUCAACAUCAAUUUCUUUUGCUGUAAAAAAGCUUGAGGAAGGUGGCUUGAGAUUCGUCUUAAGUGUUUAUAGCCUCUUGCCUAUGCAGUCGGAGAGAUUGAGGUCUGCAGCGUAGAUCCUUCGGGGCUAAAUGCAUUUGUGCUAAGUUAUAACAUUUUAUAGACAACUUGUUGACUAUGAUUUGUCUUGUAGCUUACUCGCUUAUGUUAUUUUACCUACGCUUAGGAUGUUGAAGUCAUCACACAUCUCU